UACGGAGGAUGCGAGCGUUAUCCGGAUUUAUUGGGUUUAAAGGGUGCGUAGGCGGACUGUUAAGUCAGCGGUAAAAGCCCGGGGCUCAACCCCGGCGAGCCGUUGAAACUGGCUGUCUUGAGAUGUCGAGAGGUAUGCGGAAUGCGCAGUGUAGCGGUGAAAUGCUUAGAGAUCAUACAGAACACCGAUUGCGAAGGCAGCUUACCAAGCUACUUCUGACGUUGAGGCACGAAAGCGUGGGGAGCAAACAGG
RNAcentral lists this ribosomal RNA (252 nucleotides) under uncultured Bacteroidales bacterium. Its description in RNAcentral is "partial 16S ribosomal RNA". It matches the Rfam family "Bacterial small subunit ribosomal RNA", at positions 524 to 776 of the family's 1533-position model. The record is from RNAcentral. Lineage: Bacteria; Pseudomonadati; Bacteroidota; Bacteroidia; Bacteroidales.